RNAcentral lists this ribosomal RNA (442 nucleotides) under Epinephelus tauvina (greasy grouper). RNAcentral's name for it is "partial 12S ribosomal RNA". It matches the Rfam family "Bacterial small subunit ribosomal RNA", at positions 304 to 955 of the family's 1533-position model. The record is from RNAcentral. Lineage: Eukaryota; Metazoa; Chordata; Actinopteri; Perciformes; Serranidae.
AUAGCAACAAAACCUCGCUAGCCACACCCCCAAGGAACUCAGCAGUGACAGACAUUAAGCCAAUAAGUGCAAACUUGACUUAGUUAUGGUUAAAAGGGCUGGUAAAACUCGUGCCAGCUACCGCGGUUAUACGAGAAGCCCAAGUUGACAAGCUCCGGCGUAAAGCGUGGUUAAGGAAUAAUAAACACUAAAGCCGAACGCUUACUAAGGCUGUUAUACGCUUACGAAAAUAAGAAGCACAUCCACGAAGGUGGCUUUAUCUUACCUGAACCCACGAAAGCCAAGGCACAAACUGGGAUUAGAUACCCCACUAUGCUUUGCCCUAAACAUUGAUAGUCUUAUACAACCACUAUCCGCCCGGGAACUACGAGCAACAGCUUAAAACCCAAAGGACUUGGCGGUGCUUUAGACCCACAUAGAGGAGCCUGUUCUAAAAAACCAG